UACACACAGCAACACAGAGAUACACACAGCAACACAGAGAUACACACAGCAACACAGAGAUACACACAGCAACACAGAGUUACACACAGCAACACAGAGAUACACACAGCAACACAGAGAUACACAUGGAAUAAAACAAACAUACAGUCAAUAAUACAGAAGAAAAAAAGAAAACAAAAAGUCUAUAUCCAGUGAGUGCAAAUGAUGUAAGAUAAGGGAGUUAAGGCAAUAAAUAGGCCAUGGUGGAGAAGUAAUUACAAUGUAGCAAUUAAACACUGGAAUGGUAGAUGUGCAGAAGAUGAAUGUGCAAGUAGAGAUACUGGGGUGCAAAGGAGCUAGAUAAAUAAAUACAGUAUGGGGAUGAGGUAGGUACAUAGCCCAUCUAUCUACAGGUGCAGUGAUCUGUGAGCUACUCUGACAGCUGGUGCUUAAAGUUAGUGAAGGAGAUAUCAGUCUCCAGCUUCAGUGAUUUUUGCAGUUCGUUCCAGUCAUUGGCAGCAGAGAACUGGAAGGAAAGACUACCAAAUGAGGAAUUGGCUUUGGUGGGUGAUCAGUAGGGCAAAAAAGUAUUUAGUCAGCCACCAAAUGUGCAAGUUCUCCCACUUAAAAAGAUGAGAGGCCUGUAAUUUUCAUCAUAGGUACACUUCAAAAAACAGCUCUACAGACUUCACUGUCAUGGUGCCCAGUCAGUACACAACACUAUGCUCAUUGUGUCUUAGCAGGGUCAGAUGGUGACAGAGGUCUCAGCAGGGUCAGAUGGUGACAGAGGUCUCAGCAGGGUCAGAUGGUGACAGAGGUCUCAGCAGGAUCAGAUGGUGACAGAGGUCUCAGCAGGGUCAGAUGGUGACAGAGGUCUCAGCAGGGUCAGAUGGUGACAGGGGUCUCAGCAGGGUCAGAUGGUGACAGAGGUCUCAGCAGGGUCAGAUGGUGACAGAGGUCUCAGCAGGGUCAGAUGGUGACAGAGGUCUCAGCAGGGUCAGAUGGUGACAGGGGUCUCAGCAGGGUCAGAUGGUGACAGAGGUCUCAGCAGGGUCAGAUGGUGACAGAGGUCUCAGCAGGGUCAGAUGGUGACAGAGGUCUCAGCAGGGUCAGAUGGUGACAGAGGUCUCAGCAGGGUCAGAUGGUGACAGAGGUCUCAGCAGGGUCAGAUGGUGACAGAGGUCUCAGCAGGGUCAGAUGGUGACAGAGGUCUCAGCAGGGUCAGAUGGUGACAGAGGUCUCAGCAGGGUCAGAUGGUGACAGAGGUCUCAGCAGGGUCAGGCAACCAGGGAAGACCAGUCUGUGACGGAGAGGAGGUGAAUAUUUGCAGAUACAACACUUUAUUCUCUCUGUGCAGCAAACACUGGACAAGCCAGAUGCUUCAAAGAUUGAAACUAUUUUAAGGGAGUCUGACAAACCUCAAGUUUAUUUCUAAACUGUAUCAAGGGUUAAUGGAGGCUUUUCCUGAUGACACAAAACAUGUAAAACAAUAGUUGGAUAAGACCUGGGAGAUUGAUGAUGAUGAUGAUGAAUAGAUACAGCUAUGUUUGAAUGCCCAGUCAUGUUCAUAUCAUCUCAGACAUAAAUGACUGCAGUUUGAGACCAUCGAUAGAGCAUUGUAUAUGCCAGUGAAACUGAAUAUCAUGCCCUCAGAAAUUAAAUUAUUUAUCUGGCGGUGUCAAGCAAAAAUGGGACAUAUUUGUUAAGGUCUUUGUGAAGGUUGACUGAAUUCUGGCAAAGAUUGUUAUUUUUUAUCUCAGCAUGUCUACAGAUUCUCCCUGUUUUUUGUUUGCUAUGGAAAUGUUGAUUACGAGAGACUUAUCUGAAGAAAGUGUGUAACGUAGCGUUUUUUAAAGCGGCUAAGAAAUGCAUUGCCAUUUAAUUGUAAGGUUGUAUGUCUUCUCACAAUGGAUGGAAGAAAGGUCCAGUUUACACUCCCGGUCAAAAGUUUGGAUACAGCACA
Molecule: long non-coding RNA, 1942 nt
Organism: Oncorhynchus keta (chum salmon)
Lineage: Eukaryota; Metazoa; Chordata; Actinopteri; Salmoniformes; Salmonidae
Exons: 3
Source: RefSeq, a predicted model, not a curated record